RNAcentral lists this signal recognition particle RNA (99 nucleotides) under Opitutia bacterium. RNAcentral describes it as "signal recognition particle sRNA small type". It matches the Rfam family "Bacterial small signal recognition particle RNA". Rfam says of the family: The signal recognition particle (SRP) is a universally conserved ribonucleoprotein involved in the co-translational targeting of proteins to membranes. Archaeal SRP consists of a 7S RNA and homologues of the eukaryotic SRP19 and SRP54 proteins. Lineage: Bacteria; Pseudomonadati; Verrucomicrobiota; Opitutia. The record is from RNAcentral.
GGUCGGGUCCUAUGCGACGACGAAGUGGUGAACCCCGCCAGGCCCGGAAGGGAGCAACGGUAACCAAUCUUUGCGUGCGCCGUAGGGUGCCUGGCCUUU